AACGGGGGSGGGCAACAUGCAKYCGAGCGGACARAUGGGAGCUUGCUCCCUGAUGUUAGCGGCGGACGGGUGAGUAACACGUGGGUAACCUGCCUGUAAGACUGGGAUAACUCCGGGAAACCGGGGCUAAUACCGGAUGSUUGUUUGAACCGCAUGGUUCAGACAUAAAAGGUGGCUUCGGCUACCACUUACAGAUGGACCCGCGGCGCAUUAGCUAGUUGGUGAGGUAACGGCUCACCAAGGCAACGAUGCGUACCGACCUGAAGGGUGAUCGGCCACACUGGACUGAACACGGCCCAACUCCUACGGGAGGCCAUAGGAAUCUUCCGCAAUGGACAAAUCUGACGAGCAACGCCCGUAUGA
Molecule: ribosomal RNA, 363 nt
Filed under: Bacillus amyloliquefaciens
Lineage: Bacteria; Bacillati; Bacillota; Bacilli; Caryophanales; Bacillaceae
Description: bacterial SSU rRNA
Rfam family: Bacterial small subunit ribosomal RNA
Source: RNAcentral